GCUCGACCUCAAAUCAGGUAGGAAUACCCGCUGAACUUAAGCAUAUCAAUAAGCGGAGGAAAAGAAACCAACAGGGAUUGCCUCAGUAGCGGCGAGUGAAGCGGCAAGAGCUCAGAUUUGAAAUCGCAGCGGCAACGCGGCGAGUUGUAGAUUGCAGGUGGGAGAGUUUGCGGGCGGCGGGCGUCGAAGUCCCUUGGAACAGGGCGCCACUGAGGGUGAGAGCCCCGUGCGAUGCCUGCCCAUGCUUUGAACUCCCCUCUGACGAGUCGAGUUGUUUGG
This 279-nucleotide ribosomal RNA is filed under the name Pichia norvegensis. RNAcentral's name for it is "partial 28S ribosomal RNA". It matches the Rfam family "Eukaryotic large subunit ribosomal RNA", at positions 1 to 277 of the family's 3401-position model. Lineage: Eukaryota; Fungi; Ascomycota; Pichiomycetes; Pichiales; Pichiaceae. The record is from RNAcentral.